AAUUGCUGAGAUGGAAUGUCAAAACAGAUACAAUAAAAAAGGCAUCACCUCAUUUGUCUUAUUAUUUUUCAGAUUGUUCAAUGCUUCAUGUUGCAUCAUGACCCAGCAGAAGGAACCAGUCUGAAUUGGAAAGGGAGAGGUUCCCAGAGCUCAACAAACAUAUUUUCAAUUCCAGAGAUCCUCAACCAGUAUUCCCCCAUUUUAAACUUCAUAAUCAGACAACAUACAAUGUAGCCAGGGAACCUGUAGUCAUGUUGAGCCAGAAAGAAGAUGAGUGCUGCUAUGACUGUGAGGAAGAACUGUGGCAUGGAUGAGAGAAAUCCUACCUUGUAUGGGAAUUCAAACACACUCUUUGUAUACUCUGACAGUGAGUCACUUGGACCUCAAAUGUUAGCUUUUGGGUACUGCUUCUGGAGGAAUUUUCAAACUUCUGUUUUAUGGAAGAAGCACAGGUCUCCUCAAGUCUGCUCAACCAUCUGA
RNAcentral lists this long non-coding RNA (480 nucleotides) under Phasianus colchicus (ring-necked pheasant). Its description in RNAcentral is "lncRNA (ENSPCLG00000014677.1)". The record is from RNAcentral. Lineage: Eukaryota; Metazoa; Chordata; Aves; Galliformes; Phasianidae.